Molecule: ribosomal RNA, 257 nt
Filed under: uncultured bacterium
Lineage: Bacteria
Description: partial 16S ribosomal RNA
Source: RNAcentral
CUGCUGCCUUCCGUAGGAGUCUGGUCCGUGUCUCAGUACCAGUGUGGGGGACCUUCCUCUCAGAACCCCUACGCAUCGUCGUCUUGGUGGUCCGUUACACCGCCAACUAACUAAUGCGACGCAUGCCCAUCCGCCACCGGAAUUAACCUUUGGCACCAACAGGAUGUCCCGUCGAUGCAUUAUGCCGUAUUAGACGGAAUUUCUCCCGAUUAUCCGGCUGUGGCAGGCAGGUUGCAUACGUGUUACUCACCCGUGCG